This 1047-nucleotide long non-coding RNA is filed under the name Hordeum vulgare. RNAcentral's name for it is "long non-coding RNA (HVUL_LNC005959)". Lineage: Eukaryota; Viridiplantae; Streptophyta; Magnoliopsida; Poales; Poaceae. The record is from RNAcentral.
CUCCGCGGCGCCUGCACCCGACGACCCGGCUCAGCCCGCCGGCGACUCUGGCACGGUGGGUCAUCUGCUCCGUGCUCGUGUCGCCAUUGUUUGGUGUGCCGUGUGGGUUUCCGUUGCUGACGGGUUUGUCUGUGACUGGCCAGCUGACGACCCGGCAGAUCGUGGCGAGGCGGCUUGGCGGCUGCAGAAGGGUAUGUUCUCUUCCUCUGGUUCAGUGCUCUCCAGUGCUGGGUUGUAUGGAGAUCAGAUAUGUAUUGAAACUUACAUGGUGCAAUGGCAAUGCUGAUGAUUGAUGAUGCACGGAAAGGGAGAUUUGUGCCUAUAGGAUAUUGUAUUUAACAUAAAUAGCGCUAAUAUCUUUCUCAAGUGGUGUUGGUGGUUGGAGUUCACCUUAAAUAGUGUACUAAAUGAAAUGUCUAGGAUCUAUGAGAAGACGCUUCAAAUGCAUUGGCCUUACCUAGUGACCACUUGCUGUAAUCAUGGAAUAGAACCUCUAUUGACAUAUUGUGAUGGUUACAUUUCUGUACAUAGCGUACACUGCCGAACUCAUGGUUGGCACAUUAAUAUUAUGUAUUUACAUACACCCCAUAUGCAAAUUUCUCUUGUUUUGGUACCUAAUUGAGAGGACAAUGAAAUCACGCAUUUCAACCAUGUCAAUAGUUAAAUGAUUUAAAUAAUAACUAACCAUAAAAGACCACAGAACAAAAUGCGGAGAAUACCAUAGAGUGUGAGUAGUUCCUAGGACCCGACGCAGAGGGACAGUCUUGGUGAGUGUAGAGUGGGGUUUGAUAAUGGCUACUAAGUGUUAGGAAGUAUUAGUAUUAGUCUAGGAGUCCUUAUUAGUCUAUUAGUAUUAGUCUAGGAGUCCUUAUUAGUCUAUGUUUACUUUGCUUGCACCUCAAGUCAUGUGUAAUAUAUAUAUGCCCCUUGGGCCUUCAAUAUAGAUAAGUUGCUUUCCUAACAUGGUAUUAGAGCCUAGGUUUAGGUCUCCGGACGCCGCAACUCGUCCUCACGAUCCAAUUUUUUUUUCCGUUCCUGCACCAGCCG